GAUGGUUAAGUGAUUGUGACACGCCUGAAAGGCAAACUUAUGUCACAGAAAAGAAGAGCUCUCUGGCUGGAUGGUUACAUACAGUUUUGCACAGACAUCUGGAAAGUUUGAUCUGGGAGAGACCACAUCACAGAAAAAUUGUUACUGUCUGAGGGGACACUGGUGAUAAAAACCUUAAAACUCAUAUCUUAACUAAAUCUUACAUGUGCUCAACCUGCCACCUUUUUUGUCAUCACUGGAGUGAAUAGUCUAAUGUGUGCCUAUGAAAUAUUACACCAGACAUAAGGUUAUUAAGCUGCGGGAAAACACCUGCAGGUGUAAACCAUGUCAAGUGUUUAGAACAGUGCCUGCACACAAGCCAUGACCGAAAAAUGUUCAACUUAUAGCCACGCUCUGGUGCCCUCAAGAAGUUUGUUUAGAGGGCAAAAGUAGAAGAAGAGCAGCAGCUGCGGGGGCCUCAUGUGAACUUGGACAAGGGACAUCUCUGCACCACGCUAUUCAGAAAGAAGCCCAGAGGAGUCUUCCAGAUGUGCUGACCCUGGGCUUCUGCACCACUGCAACACCUGUAUGGAGCACGGUAUACCUCCGCAUCCUUGAAGGAAAAUCCCUUGCUCUCUUAUUUCUCUGAACCACGCCCUCGUACUGUCAAGAAUCCAGGGGUCACGGAAAGACUCCAGGCCUCGCUGAGUGUGGUCACGUGACAUAGUAACACUCUCAUUUCCCGGAUUCUGUUGUCCUGUGGCUGCAUCCUGUCCUCACCUUGAAGCGCUCAUGGACCGUGGCAGGGAGAAAUAUUAAUGCGUCGAGCAUGUUGGAAGGCACAAAGGGAAAUGAGCCGGCAUCUUCAUUGCACCACUUUAAGGAAUGAGACUUUGUGCUGCUGCUUAGAGGGUUUUUAAAACGCGAGGACAUACCAUAUACAACAUAAUUUAAAGGCGCUAUCCAGUCCCCCUGAGGUCCAUUGGAGCGGAACUCCUUGGUCUGGCUGGUGUUUUAACUGUUCUGCUCAAGUAACUGCCAGCAAAUAAUAAAUAAGAAGGCCUUAUCUGUUAGUCUCUGUUUAAUUGGCACUGUUAAAUACAUAAACAGAAUCCUCCCACUCCUUCAAAUGCUAGCACUUCCCUUCGGGUCAAAUCAGUGGUUUUUGUAGUCCUGGCAGCUUAAUAAAGUACUGCUUGAUCAGAAUUAAAGUUUGA
Molecule: long non-coding RNA, 1196 nt
Organism: Equus caballus (horse)
Lineage: Eukaryota; Metazoa; Chordata; Mammalia; Perissodactyla; Equidae
Source: RefSeq, a predicted model, not a curated record